UGGGGGUAGUGCUCUCUGGUUCAGUCGGUUGAUCGUGUGUGUGCUGCUGUCACUGCUUUGACAAGGUGCUAAAGACAGUGCAAACUCUGGCAUAGGUUCUCUUGUCAUUUAGAUUCGACACGGACUAGCUGUAACGCCGAGAGCGUGCCGCGGCAGGAGCAAAUGCAAGCGUCACUUCGGGCCCGACCUACUGCGCCGUAAAGAAGCAUGGAUCACCUUCACUGAAAGACUAAUGCCAGACAAGAAAGCGAUGACCUCAUCGAAACGUGGGAGGCCAAGCUCGUUUCCGAGGUCCUGGAACAACAACGAUGCCUCGUCGCCAGGACCAAGGAGGCAGUGAAGGCCAGAGGGUUCCUGGAAUGAGGAGACCUCCCGCCGAGAGUAGAACUGGGACUAACCCCAGGAUACCGUUUCAAAAAUAAACGUUUGUUCUUCCUC
Dermacentor albipictus is the source of this 438-nucleotide long non-coding RNA. RefSeq lists it as uncharacterized. The record is from RefSeq and is a predicted model, not a curated record. Lineage: Eukaryota; Metazoa; Arthropoda; Arachnida; Ixodida; Ixodidae.